CAGAGAUAGCCAGCCUUCAACUUCAAAACUUUACAUAAAGAAAAGCACCCACAGAAUUGCAUUAAAAAGGCAGGACAGGAGAGGGUGAAAAUUUUUAGCAGGUUAAGCUUCAAUAUAUUGCCGGCCGCCUAAGAUCCACCAAUAGCCAAGACAACAAUUAAAUUAAACCACAUAAAGUGAAUGGCAUAAGGAUUGCAGCCAACGAAAAAAACAUGAAGAGUUGUGCUCCUAAUAUAGUCAGAAACAGCUGGAAAAUGCUGCAGCUGACAUGAUUUUGAAAAAUUCAACUUCCUCAGAACGAAAUCAAGAAGGCUGAGAUUUACAAAAAUAAUUAAUUAACACAAUAGCUCUGAAACAGUAGACUUGAACAGACAAAAAAAAUUUAACAAGUUAUGCGACUCAAAUGAAGACGAAGAAAGCAAGACCAAGGGGGGAAUUAAACCAAUGAAAGUUGGUCAAUGUUAAAUAGGUCUAGUUUUUGACACGUAAUUUGUAAAAUUUUGAGAAGCAUUCAAAGUGGAGAGAAAGCAGUUAAAAGGCCCACAUAUCUAUUCCAAGUUUACUGGAAUUGCACAAAACUUGUAAUUAAG
RNAcentral lists this unclassified non-coding RNA (590 nucleotides) under Hevea brasiliensis (rubber tree). Lineage: Eukaryota; Viridiplantae; Streptophyta; Magnoliopsida; Malpighiales; Euphorbiaceae. The record is from RNAcentral.